This 483-nucleotide ribosomal RNA is filed under the name uncultured bacterium. RNAcentral describes it as "partial 16S ribosomal RNA". It matches the Rfam family "Bacterial small subunit ribosomal RNA", at positions 899 to 1397 of the family's 1533-position model. The record is from RNAcentral.
ACUCAAAUGAAUAGACGGGGGCCCGCACAAGCAGCGGAGCGUGUGGUUUAAUUCGAGGCUACACGAAGAACCUUACCUGGGUUUGACAUACAAGUAGUAGGGAACCGAAAGGGGACCGACCGCAAGGAGCUUGUACAGGUGCUGCAUGGCUGUCGUCAGCUCGUGCCGUGAGGUGUUCGGUUAAGUCCGCAAACGAGCGCAACCCUCGGCGUUAGUUACAAGUGUCUAACGCGACUGCCCGUGAGAAACGGGAGGAAGGUGGGGAUGACGUCAAGUCAGCAUGGCCUUUAUAUCCAGGGCUACACACACGCUACAAUGGACGGUACAGUAGGUCGCGAAGCCGCGAGGUGGAGCCAAUCCAAAAAGCCGUUCGUAGUUCGGAUUGCAGGCUGCAACUCGCCUGCAUGAAGUCGGAGUUGCUAGUAACCGCGCGUCAGCUAUAGCGCGGUGAAUACGUUCCCGGGCCUUGCACACACCGCCCGU